AGGUGUUACAGAGCUCAGGGAUCUCAUCAAAGCUGAAACCAAACCCAAGAUCCAAGCAGCCUUUAAGCUCAUCAAGAUCAUCAUCCGUCAAGCUCUUACUCCUCUUCAAAUCAUCCCCAUUAGUAUUAGCUACAUCCACAUACCUUUCUAGCAGCACCUGAUUCUUCUUUUUCUUGCUGUUGCUCCUACUUUUGGAGCUGAAGGUGCUGCUGCUGUUGUUGAUGGUUCCUUGAUUCACUUUCUGCCAUAUUUCAUCAGUUUCUUGGUAGAAAACAUCAUCUUGAUCCAGGUUUUCUAUUUCAUUCUUUUGUUGGUUUAGGUUUGUUGAAGAAACCCAAGAUUCUUGUUCACAAGAAAUGCCCACCAUGUUUUCUUUCUGUAAAGAGGUGCUUGCGAU
Molecule: unclassified non-coding RNA, 397 nt
Filed under: Hevea brasiliensis (rubber tree)
Lineage: Eukaryota; Viridiplantae; Streptophyta; Magnoliopsida; Malpighiales; Euphorbiaceae
Source: RNAcentral